This 873-nucleotide ribosomal RNA is filed under the name Levilactobacillus brevis. RNAcentral's name for it is "bacterial SSU rRNA". It matches the Rfam family "Bacterial small subunit ribosomal RNA", at positions 606 to 1477 of the family's 1533-position model. The record is from RNAcentral. Lineage: Bacteria; Bacillati; Bacillota; Bacilli; Lactobacillales; Lactobacillaceae.
GGNNUUUAACCGGAGAAGUGCAUCGGAAACUGGGAGACUUGAGUGCAGAAGAGGACAGUGGAACUCCAUGUGUAGCGGUGGAAUGCGUAGAUAUAUGGAAGAACACCAGUGGCGAAGGCGGCUGUCUAGUCUGUAACUGACGCUGAGGCUCGAAAGCAUGGGUAGCGAACAGGAUUAGAUACCCUGGUAGUCCAUGCCGUAAACGAUGAGUGCUAAGUGUUGGAGGGUUUCCGCCCUUCAGUGCUGCAGCUAACGCAUUAAGCACUCCGCCUGGGGAGUACGACCGCAAGGUUGAAACUCAAAGGAAUUGACGGGGGCCCGCACAAGCGGUGGAGCAUGUGGUUUAAUUCGAAGCUACGCGAAGAACCUUACCAGGUCUUGACAUCUUCUGCCAAUCUUAGAGAUAAGACGUUCCCUUCGGGGACAGAAUGACAGGUGGUGCAUGGUUGUCGUCAGCUCGUGUCGUGAGAUGUUGGGUUAAGUCCCGCAACGAGCGCAACCCUUAUUAUCAGUUGCCAGCAUUCAGUUGGGCACUCUGGUGAGACUGCCGGUGACAAACCGGAGGAAGGUGGGGAUGACGUCAAAUCAUCAUGCCCCUUAUGACCUGGGCUACACACGUGCUACAAUGGACGGUACAACGAGUCGCGAAGUCGUGAGGCUAAGCUAAUCUCUUAAAGCCGUUCUCAGUUCGGAUUGUAGGCUGCAACUCGCCUACAUGAAGUUGGAAUCGCUAGUAAUCGCGGAUCAGCAUGCCGCGGUGAAUACGUUCCCGGGCCUUGUACACACCGCCCGUCACACCAUGAGAGUUUGUAACACCCAAAGCCGGUGAGAUAACCUUCGGGAGUCAGCCGUCUAAGGUGGGACAGAUGAUUA